This is a long non-coding RNA of Silurus meridionalis, 463 nucleotides long. RefSeq lists it as uncharacterized. The transcript is spliced from 2 exons. NCBI's taxonomy places the organism in Eukaryota, Metazoa, Chordata, Actinopteri, Siluriformes, Siluridae. The record is from RefSeq and is a predicted model, not a curated record.
AACAUAGGCUUUUGAAGGUUGGUUGUAAGCAUACUGACCUGUGAGAAAGAGCAGCGGGCAAUGAGACGGGCAGGGGUGGAUGCAGCUUUGGGUUCAGGCAAAUCUCCAUGUAUAAACAAACCGCUCUGGAAUUCGAUCCUUGAGGCCGAUGUGGUUACAUACUAGUGACAACUCUUGCUUGUUCAGCGAGCCUCCAGUUCCAACUCCGAGCUCCUUCCAAACCGCUCUCACCUGCCCAUCUGUUAUAUCCUGGCAUGGACUACUGGAGUGCUUCCGAUUUCCUGAGCUGUCUGGCUUCCAACGCUUUAACUGGCCUGAACAAACAAAUUGUUUUGAGCACUUAAGAGGAUUCUCCAGCUUUUAUACAUUUUUAGGCAGAGGACUAUAUGAGUUUUUUUCAGCUACACGUUUAUAUUGCCUCUAACAGAAAUAACUAUUAAAUAAAAAGGGCUUGAUAAUUACA